UUAGCUCAAAUUUGUAUGAAGUUGGAACGUUUGCCCACAUUUGCCGCUAGGGGCGCUGUUCCAACUCCAUACAAAUUUGAGUUG
Molecule: non-coding RNA, 84 nt
Organism: Bombyx mori (domestic silkworm)
Lineage: Eukaryota; Metazoa; Arthropoda; Insecta; Lepidoptera; Bombycidae
Source: Rfam